Molecule: ribosomal RNA, 267 nt
Filed under: uncultured Rubrobacter sp.
Lineage: Bacteria; Bacillati; Actinomycetota; Rubrobacteria; Rubrobacterales; Rubrobacteraceae
Description: partial 16S ribosomal RNA
Rfam family: Bacterial small subunit ribosomal RNA
Source: RNAcentral
AGCUUCGGCCAUCCGGCGAGGGAUGGGCCCGCGGUCCAUUAGCUAGUUGGUGGGGUAACGGCCUACCAAGGCGACGAUGGAUAGCUGGUCUGAGAGGACGAUCAGCCACACUGGGACUGAGACACGGCCCAGACUCCUACGGGAGGCAGCAGUCGGGAAUCUUGCGCAAUGGGCGAAAGCCUGACGCAGCAACACCGUGUGGGCGACGAAGGCCUUCGGGUCGUAAAGCCCUGUUGUCGGGGACGAAGGGCGAAGGGUUAAUAGCCC